ACCUUCCUUGUCUGGGGGUGGAUUGGGCUGUUCAAUGAACGUCUAGUGAGAACAUCCCUGCUAACACCUUACCAACACCACCCGCAUCACCUGAACUAUCUAUGUUUAGGCUAUGGUGCAAUUUUGGGGGCA
Molecule: small nuclear RNA, 132 nt
Organism: Labeo rohita (rohu)
Lineage: Eukaryota; Metazoa; Chordata; Actinopteri; Cypriniformes; Cyprinidae
Product: U4atac minor spliceosomal RNA
Exons: 1
Source: RefSeq, a predicted model, not a curated record